This 253-nucleotide ribosomal RNA is filed under the name uncultured bacterium. RNAcentral's name for it is "partial 16S ribosomal RNA". It matches the Rfam family "Bacterial small subunit ribosomal RNA", at positions 524 to 776 of the family's 1533-position model. The record is from RNAcentral.
UACGGAGGGUGCAAGCGUUAUCCGGAUUCACUGGGUUUAAAGGGUGCGUAGGAGGGCAGGUAAGUCAGUGGUGAAAUCUCCAAGCUUAACUUGGAAACUGCCGUUGAUACUAUCUGUCUUGAAUAUUGUGGAGGUGAGCGGAAUAUGUCAUGUAGCGGUGAAAUGCUUAGAUAUGACAUAGAACACCAAUUGCGAAGGCAGCUCACUACUCAAUCAUUGACUCUGAGGCACGAAAGCGUGGGGGUCAAACAGG